CAGUCGCCACGGUAAUGCGAAGGGGGCUAGCGUUGCUCGGAAUGACUGGGCGUAAAGGGCGCGUAGGCGGAUUGUUUAGUUAGGCGUGAAAUUCCUGGGCUUAACCUGGGGACUGCGCUUAAUACAGGCAGUCUAGAGUGAGGAAGAGGGUUGUGGAAUUCCCAGUGUAGAGGUGAAAUUCGUAGAUAUUGGGAAGAACACCGGUGGCGAAGGCGGCAACCUGGUCCUUGACUGACGCUGAGGCGCGAAAGCGUGGGGAGCAAACAGGAUUAGAUACCCGGGUAGUCCCUGUCUCUAUACC
Molecule: ribosomal RNA, 301 nt
Filed under: uncultured bacterium
Lineage: Bacteria
Description: partial 16S ribosomal RNA
Rfam family: Bacterial small subunit ribosomal RNA
Source: RNAcentral